UGUAGUUUUCUUUGCUUUGUUUUAGGUCCUAGCUUCUGUAGCUGAGUGUCAGCCUUGAACUUGGCCCAAGAUAAUACAGCCUCUACGAUACCAAUCUUUGUGACCUGAAAAAAAUGUCGAAUGUUUAAAAACAGCAGUAGGGUAUCCAUGAGCUGUUUGACUACUGCAUCUGUGACAUGAUCCACAUGCCUACCGCCCUGUUAACAAAGGUUUGUUAGACGAUUUGGAAGAAUGUACAGAACAUAAUACAGUAAUAAUUUUA
Diprion similis is the source of this 262-nucleotide long non-coding RNA. RefSeq lists it as uncharacterized. Lineage: Eukaryota; Metazoa; Arthropoda; Insecta; Hymenoptera; Diprionidae. The record is from RefSeq and is a predicted model, not a curated record. The transcript is spliced from 2 exons.